Molecule: long non-coding RNA, 205 nt
Filed under: Panax ginseng (ginseng)
Lineage: Eukaryota; Viridiplantae; Streptophyta; Magnoliopsida; Apiales; Araliaceae
Description: long non-coding RNA (PGIN_LNC005840)
Source: RNAcentral
CGUGUAUAAUAGUGUGUGCUAACAUGAGAAGAAGGCUUUAUAGAAUAUAAGAAGGCUUACAGUGGGCUGCCAAAGUAGACUUCUAUGACUUUAAAUGGAUAAACACUCAGCUCCCGCCGGAUAAAAGAUAGCUAUAUGUGAGCUAACUAGAGUUUAGAAAUGAGGAAACACUCAAAAGAUGUGUAUGCAGAGUAAAAUGGACAGG